CACCCCGAGUAUGUUGAUUUCAAUAGUGAUGAAGAUGAUUUGCUAGGUGAUGAUGAUUUACUUGUUGACAACUCUAGUGAUGAAAACUAUGAUGAACUUGCUAUUAAUCAUGCUAAUCAAGAUAAAAUGAAUGACAAUGAUAAGAAGGAGAUUGAGCGUCUAACUAAAGAACUAAACACUCUUAAGUUAUCUCAUGAAACUACUUUAGAAGAUCAUCGAGAACUUUUAAAAACUCAUGAGAAGCUACCGCUUCGAGAAGCUCAACCUAGAGCAAUAACAUGGGUUCCUAAAAGCCAUCAAUGA
Molecule: ribosomal RNA, 303 nt
Filed under: Triticum aestivum (bread wheat)
Lineage: Eukaryota; Viridiplantae; Streptophyta; Magnoliopsida; Poales; Poaceae
Description: partial small subunit ribosomal RNA
Source: RNAcentral